RNAcentral lists this transfer RNA (88 nucleotides) under Fermentimonas caenicola. RNAcentral's name for it is "tRNA-Leu (TAA) (tRNA-Leu-TAA-1-1)". It matches the Rfam family "tRNA". Rfam says of the family: Transfer RNA (tRNA) molecules are approximately 80 nucleotides in length. Their secondary structure includes four short double-helical elements and three loops (D, anti-codon, and T loops). Further hydrogen bonds mediate the characteristic L-shaped molecular structure. tRNAs have two regions of fundamental functional importance: the anti-codon, which is responsible for specific mRNA codon recognition, and the 3' end, to which the tRNAs corresponding amino acid is attached (by aminoacyl-tRNA synthetases). tRNAs cope with the degeneracy of the genetic code in two manners: having more than one tRNA (with a specific anti-codon) for a particular amino acid; and 'wobble' base-pairing, i.e. permitting non-standard base-pairing at the 3rd anti-codon position. Lineage: Bacteria; Pseudomonadati; Bacteroidota; Bacteroidia; Bacteroidales; Dysgonomonadaceae. The record is from RNAcentral. RNAcentral also lists the same sequence under 5 other names.
GCUCGGAUGGUGGAAUGGUAGACACGCAAGACUUAAAAUCUUGUGGCCAUUAUAGGCUGUGCGGGUUCAAGUCCCGCUCCGAGUACCA